RNAcentral lists this ribosomal RNA (467 nucleotides) under uncultured bacterium. Its description in RNAcentral is "partial 16S ribosomal RNA". It matches the Rfam family "Bacterial small subunit ribosomal RNA", at positions 28 to 506 of the family's 1533-position model. The record is from RNAcentral.
GACGAACGCUGGCGGCGUGCUUAACACAUGCAAGUCGAACGGAAAGGCCCUGCUUUUGUGGGGUGCUCGAGUGGCGAACGGGUGAGUAACACGUGAGUAACCUGCCCUUGACUUUGGGAUAACUUCAGGAAACUGGGGCUAAUACCGGAUAGGAGCUCCUGCUGCAUGGUGGGGGUUGGAAAGUUUCGGCGGUUGGGGAUGGACUCGCGGCUUAUCAGCUUGUUGGUGGGGUAGUGGCUUACCAAGGCUUUGACGGGUAGCCGGCCUGAGAGGGUGACCGGCCACAGUGGGAGUGAGAUACGGCCCAGACUCCUACGGGAGGCAAGAGUGGGGAAUAUUGCACAAUGGGCGGAAGCCUGAUGCAGCAACGCCGCGUGCGGGAUGACGGCCUUCGGGUUGUAAACCGCUUUCGCCUGUGACGAAGCGUGAGUGACGGUAAUGGGUAAAGAAGCACCGGCUAACUACGU